UUUCCGUAGGUGAACCUGCGGAAGGAUCAUUAUUGUAUAACCGAGGUGCGAGGGCUGUCGCUGACCCGAAAGGUCGUGCACGCCCGAGUGCCCUCACCCACAUCCAUCUCACCCCUAUGUGCACCACCGCGUGGGUCGCCCUUUGGCUUGUUCGGAGGGGGGCUUACGUUUUCACACACACUUUGUAUGCAGUGUAGAAUGUAUUUUUUGUUUUUGCGAUAACGCAAUCAAUACAACUUUCAACAACGGAUCUCUUGGCUCUC
Molecule: unclassified non-coding RNA, 263 nt
Filed under: plant metagenome
Description: partial contains small subunit ribosomal RNA, internal transcribed spacer 1, and 5.8S ribosomal RNA
Source: RNAcentral